RNAcentral lists this unclassified non-coding RNA (230 nucleotides) under Hevea brasiliensis (rubber tree). Lineage: Eukaryota; Viridiplantae; Streptophyta; Magnoliopsida; Malpighiales; Euphorbiaceae. The record is from RNAcentral.
UAGAGAAUCAGCAAGACGCUCCAGACGACGAAAACAAGCACACUUGAAUGAACUCGAGACACAGGUUGGUCAACUUAGAGUUGAACACUCUACUUUGUUAAAGCGUCUCACAGAUGUAAAUCAAAAGUAUGAUGAUGCUGCUGUUGACAAUAGAAUUUUGAAAGCUGAUAUCGAGACUUUAAGAGCGAAGGUGAAAAUGGCUGAAGAAACAGUGAAAAGAGUGACAGGAG